This 424-nucleotide ribosomal RNA is filed under the name uncultured bacterium. RNAcentral's name for it is "partial 16S ribosomal RNA". It matches the Rfam family "Bacterial small subunit ribosomal RNA", at positions 354 to 796 of the family's 1533-position model. The record is from RNAcentral.
GUGGGGAAUCUUGCGCAAUGGGCGAAAGCCUGACGCAGCCAUGACGCGUGAAUGAUGAAGGUCUUAGGAUUGUAAAAUUCUUUCACCGGGGACGAUAAUGACGGUACCCGGAGAAGAAGCCCGGCUAACUUCGUGCCAGCAGCCGCGGUAAUACGAAGGGGGCUAGCGUUGCUCGGAAUUACUGGGCGUAAAGGGCGCGUUGGCGGAUCGUUAAGUCAGGGGUGAAAUCACAGAGCUCAACUAUGGAACUGCCGUUGAUACUGGCGAGCUUCAGUGUGAGAGAGGUAUGUGGAACUCCGAGUGUAGAGGUGAAAUUCGUAGAUAUUCGGAAGAACACCAGUGGCGAAGGCGACAUACUGGCUCAUUACUGACGCUGAGGCGCGAAAGCGUGGGUAGCAAACAAGAUUAGAAACCCUUGUAGUCC